RNAcentral lists this ribosomal RNA (1209 nucleotides) under Triticum aestivum (bread wheat). RNAcentral describes it as "partial small subunit ribosomal RNA". The record is from RNAcentral. Lineage: Eukaryota; Viridiplantae; Streptophyta; Magnoliopsida; Poales; Poaceae.
AUGAAGGCCUUGGUGCUCACCAUGGCUGAGGCAGACUUGCGGCUCGGUCCUCUCCUUGAAGCCGGCGCACACGGCCUUGAGCACCGCCGUCCUCUCCAGCUUCCCUGCACGCACAAAACACAAUCAUGUCAGUUCCUUCGUCGCCGGAGAAAUCAAAGAGACGGACGGUACAGCGACAGCCGGCCAGCCAGCCAUACCUCUGUACUGGACGUCGUUGAUGACGAGCGUGGGCAGGAUGGUGACGUCCCCGCGCGACCCGCGCCCGAUCUGGUCCUCUUGCUCCUUGGACAGCACGGCGUUGUCGGCGUCGGCGUCUGGGUCGCCCAUGCACGCCAGCACCUUGUCGAGCGACAGCCCCAGCGCGGUGACCACCUCCUCGGCGCACGCCUUGCUGUACUUCUUCUCCUUCAUGGAGCAGCGGAGCUUGUAGUCCAUGGCGAAGUCCCACCACGCCCACGGCCGCCCGCUCUCGUUGGCCACCCGGUGCACGCACAGCUGCCGCAGGUUCUCCACCACCACCUGCUUCCCCUCGUACCCCUCCCCGAAGUCCUCCUCCGGGUCCGGCGCGCAGUACCUGCACACCCAGUAACCAACCACAUUGUUCCUUGCCAUGCCAUGACAGGUACCAGAGGAAGCUUCCUAGACCGGCAAUGGCGGGCGUACAUACCUGCCAUGGUUGAUGCACUGCGACUGGCACUGGCGCGUGAGCCGGAACGCCUCGGGGCAGUACCAGGUGAUGUAGUGCGGGGUGAAGCGCGCGUAGCCGCCGCGCUCCAGGAUCUGGGCGUGGCCGCGGAAGCUCUUGACGAAGGCCGCCUGCUCGUCGCACCGGGGGCCGCACUCGUCGUUGCUGUUGGUCCAGAGCUCGUACUCCACGCGCUCGUCCGGGUGUGGCAUCGACUCGCGCCAGUCCAGCUUCACCACCACCUCCCCCUCCGCGUCGGCCUUCUCCGCCAUCCGCUUCAGCGACUCCCCGAAGGCGCGGUUCACCAGCGCCGACGGGAUGUUGAGCUUGUCGAGGUACCGAGUGUCCGGGGAUGCCUCCGGCGUGUCCAUGGUCAGCAGCUGCUCGUCCACCGUGUCCGCGAUCAGCACCGCCGCCGCGCCUGCCUGCUGCGCGUUCCACGACUUGAGCGCGAAGUAGCACUCUGUUGGGACAGUACAAACGUCGUUACGCCGUCAGUUUUACAGCUACAGUUUUGUACCUGA